Molecule: long non-coding RNA, 644 nt
Organism: Humulus lupulus (European hop)
Lineage: Eukaryota; Viridiplantae; Streptophyta; Magnoliopsida; Rosales; Cannabaceae
Exons: 3
Source: RefSeq, a predicted model, not a curated record
UAUAGAGUGAUAAACACUUGGGUUGGGGUUAUAAGCUUUGUCAUUCUAAGCUUAUUAGACACUUGGGAAGUAAAGUUCAUAGAGUGUAUUUCAGUUUCGAGGUGUAGUUCGAUCAUAGCAAUUUCAAAGGCAUCGAAGUUCUUCGAACUUGAGAUUUCUUGUUGGUAAGAAUCUUCUCAAUGGUUUAGUUCAUUCCUUUUCAUCUCUUUCUUUUAGAAAACUCACCUCUCUAUUAAUGGUUUUUAGGAGUGUUCCAAAAUCCCGACUUUGUUCUCAUCAUCCCGGUAUUUUGUGUGAUGCAGGAAAAUGAAUAUGGAAGGCGGAAGGAUUCUUGGUAGCUUGGCUUGUGUGUUGAGGAUGGAUGGAAUGUGUAGACUGCGUGUCGAUCGAGGAUGAAGUUAUUUAUUUUUAGUCUUUUAAAUCAUGUUUUUUCCGCAUUUAGUUUUGUAAAUAAUUUUCUUUAGUUUAAAAUUAUGUUUUAUGUUUUAAACAAUGGGUACCCAUGCCAUAUUUUCUAUUAUUAUGUAUUUGAUACAAUAUUUCAAGAUUUAAUAAAGUUAGUUAUAUUAUUUCUUAUGUAUCUUUCCCAAAAUAGUAGUUAUGUAUAGUAGAUCUAAUGGUCCAAGGUCUUAGAAAUAGUUGGG